RNAcentral lists this ribosomal RNA (252 nucleotides) under uncultured bacterium. Its description in RNAcentral is "partial 16S ribosomal RNA". It matches the Rfam family "Bacterial small subunit ribosomal RNA", at positions 524 to 776 of the family's 1533-position model. The record is from RNAcentral.
UACGUAGGUGGCAAGCGUCUCCGGAUUUAUUGGGCGUAAAGAGAACGCAGGCGGUCUUUUAAGUCUGAUGUGAAAGCCUUCGGCUUAACCGGAGUAGUGCAUUGGAAACUGGGAGACUUGAGUGCAGAAGAGGAGAGUGGAACUCCAUGUGUAGCGGUGAGAUGCGUAGAUAUAUGGAAGAACACCAGUGGCGAAAGCGGCUCUCUGGUCUGUAACUGACGCUGAGGUUCGAAAGCGUGGGUAGCAAACAGG